This 485-nucleotide ribosomal RNA is filed under the name Eretes sticticus. RNAcentral's name for it is "12S ribosomal RNA". Lineage: Eukaryota; Metazoa; Arthropoda; Insecta; Coleoptera; Dytiscidae. The record is from RNAcentral.
AUAUAAAGUUUAAUUCUAGCUUCAUUAUUUAUUUAAUUUUUUUUUUACAUGUAAGAUUUUACGAGAAUUAAAAUAUAAUUUUAAUAAUUAUAUUUAUAUAUUUAUUCGCAGUAUGAAGUUUUAAUAAUUUAAGAAAUUAAGAAUUAUAAAUAAAUUUUAGUAUUGACAAAUUUUGUGCCAGCAGUUGCGGUUAUACAAAAAAUGCAAAUAAAUAUUAUUAGUAAGUAAUUAAAUGAAUUAAUUAAAGUAGAAAUUUAUAUUUAUAAGGUGAAAUUUUAAAUAUAAAAUUAUAUUUUAAAUAAAUUUUUGUUAUUACGAAAUUUAUUUUUAAACUAGGAUUAGAUACCCUAUUAUUUUAAAUGUAAAAAAAUAUACUAAAGUAGUAAUAGUUAUGUUCUUUAAAUUUAAAGAAUUUGGCGGUAUUUUAGUCUUUUCAGAGGAACCUGUUCUGUAAUUGAUAGUCCACGAUUAACUUUACUUGACUU